GUGUUGAAUCAUUCUGUAUGGCAAUAAGGUAGGAAGAAACUUCUACAUUAUAAUGGCAAUUAAAAAAAAAAGAAAAAGAAAAGCAGCAGCAGAAAAGCAGCCAGUUCUGAUGUCUGAAUUCUUUCAGCAUAGAUGGAUACAACUUUUAUUUUCAUCCUCUGUCCUUUGUAUGAUACCUACUUCCACAUUCCAUAAAGACUAUCCUACCUGUUUUCGUAAGACUAAAUGCAUUAUUCUCACUUCCAGGGAAGGCUGGCAGGUUGGCCCUACUGGAGCAGCAGCUUCUGUCUUCUCCACUCUUGAGUCCAGUCCCACGACCUAUCCGUGUGUCAACAACACUACAGCAAGUUCCCUGCCACACUGGCUGCUUUACCCUGCUGCCUGCCAGCUCUGGGUAUGCCAGUCUUCAGCUGCUCAGCCUCUUCAGUCUCCUGGUAUGUCUGUACCUGGCCUAGGAGGAUGUGCACACUGCAGAGAGAUCCCUCAAAAUAGCCUUAAAGUGUUUCAACUAUUAUAUCCUCAAUUUGAGUCCCGUAAUAGAGGUCUGACUUGUGUUGGGUACUCACCUUCUUUAAAAAUCAGACCCCUUUCCAGAGCACAAGUAGCUGCAGCACUUCAGGAAGCUUACCAUCUGUGGAUUUAG
Crocodylus porosus (Australian saltwater crocodile) is the source of this 643-nucleotide long non-coding RNA. The record is from Ensembl. Lineage: Eukaryota; Metazoa; Chordata; Crocodylia; Crocodylidae.